RNAcentral lists this ribosomal RNA (483 nucleotides) under uncultured bacterium. Its description in RNAcentral is "partial 16S ribosomal RNA". It matches the Rfam family "Bacterial small subunit ribosomal RNA", at positions 28 to 523 of the family's 1533-position model. The record is from RNAcentral.
GAUGAACGCUGGCGGCGUGCUUUACACAUGCAAGUCGAACGGUGAAGGUGGAGCUUGCUCCGCCGGAUCAGUGGCGAACGGGUGAGUAACACGUGGGCAACCUGCCCCUAACUUUGGGAUAACUACUCGAAAGAGUAGCUAAUACCGCAUAUGAAGUCUGUAGGCAUCUAUGGAUUUGGAAAGUUUUUCGGUUAGGGAUGGGCCCGCGGCCUAUCAGCUUGUUGGUGAGGUAGUGGCUCACCAAGGCGACGGCGGGUAGCCGGCCUGAGAGGGCGACCGGCCACACUGGGACUGAGACACGGCCCAGACUCCUACGGGAGGCAGCAGUGGGGAAUAUUGCGCAAUGGGCGAAAGCCUGACGCAGCAACGCCGCGUGCGGGAUGAAGGCCUUCGGGUUGUAAACCGCUUUCAGCAGGGAAGAAGCGAAAGUGACGGUACCUGCAGAAGAAGCACCGGCUAACUACGUGCCAGCCGCCGCAGUAA